UUUUUUUUCCUUUUUCUAUUCAACAAAAGUGUCAUAAUUUAUAUAAGUGCGGAUAUGGGAAAGGUAUGAUUUAUUAUUACCUAUCGUUGAAAAGAAAAAAAAUAUUCUGGUUAUCGCUUUGUAUGUAUUAGAAGUAGCUCAAAAGUACAUAAUAACAAUAUAAGUGGUAUCUUCAUGAAUAUAUUAUAUAGUUCACAACAGUGGUGAAACAAAUGUGGUCCUUGAAAAGCGGUUGUUUCUCGAUUUUUUUGAAUGAUUUGAGAUGAGUGCUUAUUAUGAAAAUAACUAAAUAUUAAUGUUUGUUUACUACGAAUUUAGUGAAUUCAGUAGAAUUAGGUGAAAACAUAGGGAUGUAUUGGGACAAUAGGGAAAUAUUGGUGGGUGAGUACUGGGUACUGGGUAGAUUAAUAUUAUUAUUUUAGGUUUGUUACGCCAUCGGUUCACAAAAAAAAAAG
Cinara cedri is the source of this 455-nucleotide non-coding RNA. Lineage: Eukaryota; Metazoa; Arthropoda; Insecta; Hemiptera; Aphididae. The record is from the annotation of a GenBank genome assembly.